AAGGCCUUAGCUUAAUUAAAGUACCUGAUUUGCAUUCAGGUUAUGUUGGAUAGAGUCCUGCAGGUCUUA
This 69-nucleotide transfer RNA is filed under the name Cynoponticus ferox (Guinea pike conger). Its description in RNAcentral is "tRNA-Ala". It matches the Rfam family "tRNA". From Rfam's summary of the family: Transfer RNA (tRNA) molecules are approximately 80 nucleotides in length. Their secondary structure includes four short double-helical elements and three loops (D, anti-codon, and T loops). Further hydrogen bonds mediate the characteristic L-shaped molecular structure. tRNAs have two regions of fundamental functional importance: the anti-codon, which is responsible for specific mRNA codon recognition, and the 3' end, to which the tRNAs corresponding amino acid is attached (by aminoacyl-tRNA synthetases). tRNAs cope with the degeneracy of the genetic code in two manners: having more than one tRNA (with a specific anti-codon) for a particular amino acid; and 'wobble' base-pairing, i.e. permitting non-standard base-pairing at the 3rd anti-codon position. The record is from RNAcentral. Lineage: Eukaryota; Metazoa; Chordata; Actinopteri; Anguilliformes; Muraenesocidae.